GAAAGGUCGUAUUUCAAUGCGGCUGGGCAGGACCAUCUAUCCGUGCCUCAAUUAAG
Molecule: regulatory RNA element, 56 nt
Organism: Robinsoniella sp. RHS
Lineage: Bacteria; Bacillati; Bacillota; Clostridia; Lachnospirales; Lachnospiraceae
Rfam family: S4-Clostridia ribosomal protein leader
Source: Rfam